RNAcentral lists this ribosomal RNA (496 nucleotides) under uncultured bacterium. Its description in RNAcentral is "partial 16S ribosomal RNA". It matches the Rfam family "Bacterial small subunit ribosomal RNA", at positions 28 to 507 of the family's 1533-position model. The record is from RNAcentral.
GAUGAACGCUGGCGGCGUGCCUAAUACAUGCAAGUCGAGCGAACAGAUGAGGAGCUUGCUCCUCUGACGUUAGCGGCGGACGGGUGAGUAACACGUGGAUAACCUACCUAUAAGACUGGGAUAACUUCGGGAAACCGGAGCUAAUACCGGAUAAUAUAUUGAACCGCAUGGUUCAAUAGUGAAAGACGGUUUUGCUGUCACUUAUAGAUGGAUCCGCGCCGCAUUAGCUAGUUGGUAAGGUAACGGCUUACCAAGGCAACGAUGCGUAGCCGACCUGAGAGGGUGAUCGGCCACACUGGAACUGAGACACGGUCCAGACUCCUACGGGAGGCAGCAGUAGGGAAUCUUCCGCAAUGGGCGAAAGCCUGACGGAGCAACGCCGCGUGAGUGAUGAGGUCUUCGGAUCGUAAAACUCUGUUAUUAGGGAAGAACAAAUGUGUAAGUAACUAUGCACGUCUUGACGGUACCUAAUCAGAAAGCCACGGCUAACUACGUG